GAUGAACGCUAGCUACAGGCUUAACACAUGCAAGUCGAGGGGUAGCAUGUUGGUUGCUUGCAACCGAUGAUGACGACCGGCGCACGGGUGAGUAACGCGUAUCCAACUUGGCUUAUACUUAGGGAUAACCCGUUGAAAGACGGCCUAAUACCUAAUGGUUUAUAAUAGUUGCAUGACUUUUAUAAUAAAGAUUUAUCGGUAUAAGAUAGGGAUGCGUCUGAUUAGUUAGUUGGUGAGGUAACGGCUCACCAAGGCAUCGAUCAGUAGGGGUUCUGAGAGGAAGGUCCCCCACAUUGGAACUGAGACACGGUCCAAACUCCUACGGGAGGCAGCAGUGAGGAAUAUUGGUCAAUGGACGUAAGUCUGAACCAGCCAAGUAGCGUGCAGGAUGACGGCCCUAUGGGUUGUAAACUGCUUUUAUGUGAGAAUAAAGUUAACUACGUGUAGUUAUUUGCAUGUAUCACAUGAAUAAGGACCGGCUAAUUCCGUGCCAGCAGCCGCGGUAAUACGGAAGGUCCAGGCGUUAUCCGGAUUUAUUGGGUUUAAAGGGAGCGUAGGCCGUUUGGUAAGCGUGCUGUGAAAUUUAGAGGCUCAACCUCUACCGUGCAGCGCGAACUGUCAGACUUGAGUGCGUAGUAGGUAGGCGGAAUUCGUGGUGUAGCGGUGAAAUGCUUAGAUAUCACGAAGAACUCCGAUUGCGAAGGCAGCUUACCGUAUCGCAACUGACGCUGAUGCUCGAAGGUGCGGGUAUCGAACAGGAUUAGAUACCCUGGUAGUCCGCACAGUAAACGAUGGAUGCUCGCUGUUGGCUUUUAUAGUCAGUGGCUUAGCGAAAGCGUUAAGCAUCCCACCUGGGGAGUACGCCGGCAACGGUGAAACUCAAAGGAAUUGACGGGGGCCCGCACAAGCGGAGGAACAUGUGGUUUAAUUCGAUGAUACGCGAGGAACCUUACCCGGGCUUGAACUGCAGGAGAACGAUUCAGAGAUGAUGAGGUCCUUCGGGACUCCUGUGGAGGUGCUGCAUGGUUGUCGUCAGCUCGUGCCGUGAGGUGUCGGCUUAAGUGCCAUAACGAGCGCAACCCCUUUUCUUAGUUGCCAUCGGGUGAUGCCGGGCACUCUGAGGAUACUGCCACCGUAAGGUGUGAGGAAGGUGGGGAUGACGUCAAAUCAGCACGGCCCUUACGUCCGGGGCUACACACGUGUUACAAUGGGGCAUACAGAGUGUUGGUUGCAUGUAAAUGUAAUCUAAUCUUUAAAGUGCUUCUCAGUUCGGACUGGGGUCUGCAACCCGACCCCACGAAGCUGGAUUCGCUAGUAAUCGCGCAUCAGCCAUGGCGCGGUGAAUACGUUCCCGGGCCU
Molecule: ribosomal RNA, 1359 nt
Filed under: uncultured bacterium
Lineage: Bacteria
Description: bacterial SSU rRNA
Rfam family: Bacterial small subunit ribosomal RNA
Source: RNAcentral